Gasterosteus aculeatus aculeatus (three-spined stickleback) is the source of this 1089-nucleotide long non-coding RNA. Lineage: Eukaryota; Metazoa; Chordata; Actinopteri; Perciformes; Gasterosteidae. The record is from Ensembl.
CCUGAUCUGUAGCAAAGCGGGGGGGUUCUCUACUGUAAGUAUGUCACACACGUUUGCUUUGCUCGUAUUGUCCCUGAAUCAUCUCACUGUGCUCGACUCCCCUGAAAGGAAAGUAUCUCCUCCCACCAAACGAUGCAAAGGAAAUAGAAAUAAAAUCUUUCAUCUUUGAUUGUUCUCCAAAAAAGACAGAAAGGCCUGGGACACAACGGGACUUUAAAUCUUCAGUACACCACGAGCACAAAGAUCCACCUUUGUUCCUACCCUCAUCUGAGGUAUUGAAGAAUGGGUUGUGACCCAAAGAACUCGGUCCCAGGUGACUGGUGGGCUUCCUCUACCAUCUCUAUGCUGAUGACACCCAACUGAGACACCGGUCGCUCAGAUCUCUGUCUCGUUGACUGACAUCUCCAACGGAUGCCUGCACCCCCCCCGGACACUAAUGAGAAGAGUGAACUUCAAAGAGUGACGAGUGAAAAAAGGUCUAACAUUUUGUUUUUACUCGUUUUUGAGACAAAAGGUGAGACGAUAUGUCACCUCUGAAACAGUCCUUUGAUUGAUGAGCGUGAGAUGCAUGUAGUGGUAAAUGUGAUAUGUUAUAACAUUGUUUUGUGCUAAAGCCGUGUCUCAAGUGUCCUGUAUUUGACCCUGAUGUGCAAAGAGCAGCACGAUACAAAAUGUUGCUUUGCAGCUGUGUCCUGAGAAGGGAGGACGGUCGACUCGAGCUCAUAGACGCUUCAAAACAAAGGACUCCUGUUCAUGGCCUUGGUUCAUAUCUUAUUCGGUACAAAGUUCCGGAUCCACGUUUUACUUUAUGUCAAUUAAUAAUGAUUUGCACCGGCCACUGAGGAGGAUCUUGUGUGUGUGUGUGUGUUAUCCUCAGCUUCACCUGGGUUCUUAUCUCAACCUGCUUUGUAGCUUCUCGUAACUGGCACGGAGAAUGUCCUUCACAUGUGUAUAAAACUCAGCGUUUUCACUGCUCGGAGACGCCAUUACGCCGAGCGCUGAGAUACGUGCUGGUGUGUUGGACCUCCUGCUUGCAGGCAAUAGUUAGAGCCAGAGAUCUGCGGAGAAUUGCUCAUGUAACCUUUUUCU